GGUGGCUCUGGGAAGUGUUGGUUCCUGUGUGUAACAUGGUGGUGAGAGCAAGGAGAAAAGCUGUUUGGAGAUCUCCUGGUCCGUACUCUCCCAUCUCUGUGUGAGGUCUGCUGGUCCUGCUUUCCCAUCUCUGGUGUCUCUGACCCAUGGAGAGAAAGGAUGGAGCUGACCUCAGAUAGGAGCCAUCUCCCCACUGAUGACCUGUGACCACUGACCCCAGCUGAGUUUCCCAUACUUCUGGGCCUUCUGAAGAGCCCAGCUCCUCCCACAGCUGCUGACAUAGCAACAGAGCAAAGCAGAGGGUCUGCAGGGGCCGUCAGCGCUGUGUGGAGAUGGAACUAAUGACUUUGGAUGGGCACUGAGCAGCAGAUCUGGGGGGGCUGCAGUGACACAUGCACCUCCUGCAAAAGAUGCCUGGCUGGAGCCAAAGGUGACCUCUCACUGCUUUCAAGCAGGAUCCAUCCUCUGGCUGAGUGGCUGGGCUGGGGUGGCCAGCAGAGCAGCAUGUGCUCCUCCUGGCUCAGCAGCAAGUAAGACAAUCCUGGGACACUGCAGAAGAUAUAAGGAGAAGAUCAGCAAAAGACCCACUGUGGGUCUGAAAAGCAGCUGUGCCUACAGCUCUCCAGUGGUGGGAUAUCUGAACUGCCUCAAGAUGAGCAGGGAAUUGAACCAAGGACUCCUACAAUCUGUUUUCCCUGAUGCUUCUCAAGUGAAAACACAAUGUUACUCCCCAGAAAUGGCAGAGACGGGUCCUGUAAAAAGUAGGAGGAUCAGUACUGUGCCAGCAGCAGGACUCUUCAGCCCAUUGACAGUAACUGCUCUGCAAGGUGGAUGAAUGAUGAUCUCAUUGUGAGCCUAUCUGAUGUUUUCCUAAAAAGCACAAUAAAGUGACUUUCCCAAGGUGUUGAGGAAAAUCUGUGGCAUGGGGGCAUUAAGGGCUCCAUUUUGGGGUGAAAUUUUGCAUCAGCCUCUAGUUUGCUUGAAACCUCAUCAAAAAUCGUGCAGUGCUCUGGUAUAGCACUGCAUGGAGUUAUACUGGCACAACAACAGGCUGAAAAUUCUCUCAUGGGCUUUAUUCAUCUCAACAUUUGCCUUUCAACCCAACCUAGUCAUGUAUGAUCCUGCCAUGACCAGUAGGGAUGGAUACCUCCAGAUGGAAAAUCAUCCUCUCCCAAGGGAAACAUCUAAGCCAC
RNAcentral lists this long non-coding RNA (1193 nucleotides) under Taeniopygia guttata (zebra finch). Its description in RNAcentral is "lncRNA (ENSTGUG00000019275.1)". Lineage: Eukaryota; Metazoa; Chordata; Aves; Passeriformes; Estrildidae. The record is from RNAcentral.